RNAcentral lists this long non-coding RNA (983 nucleotides) under Mustela putorius furo (domestic ferret). RNAcentral's name for it is "lncRNA (ENSMPUG00000026761.1)". Lineage: Eukaryota; Metazoa; Chordata; Mammalia; Carnivora; Mustelidae. The record is from RNAcentral.
UUAAUGACCUAAAAUCCCUCAAAUUUGGAACACCAACAACAGUCAUUAUUAUGGUCACAUUAUGGUCAUUUGCUGGAAAUUAAAAAUAAAAAGAAAAUGAGAGCUAUUCACUAAUUUCAAUUUUCCAAACUUAAAUAUCUCUAUUUUCAAUACAUUUUUCUAUUUUUAAUAUUACUUCAGGGAGCUUAUAUGAGUGAUCUUUCAUAAGCAUGAUAAUUUAAAUAAUAAGGAAAGUAAAGAAUUGGAACUCAAAUCAAAACUUGUAGAACUUCAAAUCCAGCACACUUUUACAACUGUUUAUUAGAAAGUAAGACAACAAUCUCUGCUUUCCUUUUAGGUCUUAACAUUGACAGAAAUAACUUAGAGAAAAAAAAAAUCUAAGUGUGGAUUGACUGUCUAUCCUAUGAUGGUUUUCACCCUGUUGGUUGCUAUCGGUCUAAAUAGCCACUUCCACCCACUCCAGACCAUAAGCUCCACACAGAUCAUGUCAUUGGAUACUCCAGAAAAUGAAUAUGUCUUGAAGUGCAUGGAGUGUGUGAUUAACUCCCUGAGUAGGGUACCCAAGGUAGAUAACAACUAUAGGCCCCUCUCUUCUCUUUGAUUCUCCCCAUGGAGGAAAAGAUGGGGUGAGAGUGUACAAAGGUAUGUACAUGUGACAAAGAAGGUGGUAGAAACACAAAUAAUGGCAUACAUUCAAUGCAAUGAUUAGAAUUCUCUACAUGUAAUUCCUUCCGAAAAGCAUUAACAAAGGCUCUUCAAAGCUGAGUCUUUUUAUCAGCUCAUAUUCUAUGAGCACCUGGGUUGUUAAAAUGUGUGUGAUAGGAAAGGAAGUGACCCCUGCCAACCUGUGCCUCAAAUAGGCUUGUUUCAUGCUGGGAGAAAACCAUUUGGCCACACACAGAAGAAACGAUGCACCCUUUCAAUUCUUCCCCUGACAGAUGUGGAAGGGGUAAUUUAUCACCCAAGGCCAAGAACUUUUGUGU